AACGGUCUAUACCUGCGGUACCUGCGGAAGGAUCAUUACCGAGUGAGGGCCCUCUGGGUCCAACCUCCCACCCGUGUUUAUCGUACCUUGUUGCUUCGGCGGGCCCGCCUCACGGCCGCCGGGGGGCACCUGCCCCCGGGCCCGCGCCCGCCGAAGACAUCAUUGAACUCUGUCUGAAGAUUGCAGUCUGAGUAGAUUAGCUAAAUCAGUUAAAACUUUCAACAAUGGAUCUCUAGAUCG
RNAcentral lists this unclassified non-coding RNA (240 nucleotides) under soil metagenome. Its description in RNAcentral is "partial contains 5.8S ribosomal RNA, internal transcribed spacer 2, and large subunit ribosomal RNA". The record is from RNAcentral.